Molecule: long non-coding RNA, 597 nt
Filed under: Helianthus annuus (common sunflower)
Lineage: Eukaryota; Viridiplantae; Streptophyta; Magnoliopsida; Asterales; Asteraceae
Source: RNAcentral
CCUCUUUCCUUUCCAUCAAAUCGGGGUUUCCUUUUCUUCCCUCUUCAUCACCUUAAUAUCGUUAUAAUCAGAGUUUCUUUUCUUCCUCCUUCAUCAUCCUAUGUAAACCCUAAAGGAAUUCACAGCAGUUCUUCAAGGAUUAUUACCGAUUUAUUCUAAUGGAAUGAUGGAUCUUUCAAAUGCUGUUGUUCUACAAGCAACAGAGUCCCAAUGAUGGUGAAUGCAACGAUGCUGAAGAUAGUCUCAAUCAGAACUUCGUUGAUCUAGAAUUUAAGAAGAUGGCGAUCAAAAUAUGCGAUCUAGUCGUCUGUACCUAGCGAAGGUGUGUACGAUUAAGUGGGGCCUGGCGUCAUUGUGAGUUUAAAGUUCUUCAUUUUGGUUAAUUUAGUGAUCUUCGUCUGCCAUCUCAAGCAUUCCAUCAGUUUUCUCCUAUCCCUCAUCCUCUAUCCAGAGGAAAAAAAGACAGAUAAUGGUUGACGAUUCUUCGUUGAGGAAACCAAACGGCGAUGGAGAUGGAGACCACAGGCCAAACGCGACCGGAAGAGAAAAAACCAUACUGAUGAAGUUACUGGUAGACUUUCCACUUCAUUAAAGCAU